UAAGUAGGGUGCAAGCGUUAAUCGGCAUUACUGGGCGUAAAGCGUGCGCAGGCGGUUAUAUAAGACAGAUGUGAAAUCCCCGGGCUCAACCUGGGAACUGCAUUUGUGACUGUAUAGCUAGAGUACGGCAGAGGGGGAUGGAAUUCCGCGUGUAGCAGUGAAAUGCGUAGAUAUGCGGAGGAACACCGAUGGCGAAGGCAAUCCCCUGGGCCUGUACUGACGCGCAUGCACGAAAGCGGGGGGAGCACACAGGAUUCGAUAACAGGGUAGUCC
This 273-nucleotide ribosomal RNA is filed under the name uncultured bacterium. RNAcentral's name for it is "partial 16S ribosomal RNA". It matches the Rfam family "Bacterial small subunit ribosomal RNA", at positions 524 to 796 of the family's 1533-position model. The record is from RNAcentral.